This 326-nucleotide long non-coding RNA is filed under the name Populus tremula. RNAcentral describes it as "long non-coding RNA (PTRE_LNC000162)". Lineage: Eukaryota; Viridiplantae; Streptophyta; Magnoliopsida; Malpighiales; Salicaceae. The record is from RNAcentral.
ACCAGAAAAAAAUCCAACAGCAGGGGGUUCUGGAUCGCCUUCUUCCCCUCUUCAAUCUCCUGCUGCCCGUGAGAAAACUCACCACCUGCAAAUCCAAGAAACGCAAAUGGCAGUUGAUUUUAAUUAAAUUUUUUAGAUCUGCUUCUCUUCUCCUUCAAAUCUGCUUCGGAUUUUGCUUCUUCUUGUCCGAUCUAGCUUCUCCUUCUCUGUUUCAGGCGACGGUGGAGUUGUGGGUGUCGCUGCUGCGGUCCAGGCGUUGUUGAAGGGGCUCGACCGGUGCUUGGUGAGGAAGAAGACGCUGCUGCGGCCUGUGGGUUGGAGAUCGG